Molecule: ribosomal RNA, 460 nt
Filed under: uncultured bacterium
Lineage: Bacteria
Description: partial 16S ribosomal RNA
Rfam family: Bacterial small subunit ribosomal RNA
Source: RNAcentral
CCUACGUGAGGCAGCAGUGAGGAAUAUUGGUCAAUGGGCGCGAGCCUGAACCAGCCAAGUAGCGUGAAGGAUGACUGCCCUACGGGUUGUAAACUUCUUUUAUAAAGGAAUAAAGUGAGGCACGUGUGCCUUUUUGUAUGUACUUUAUGAAUAAGGAUCGGCUAACUCCGUGCCAGCAGCCGCUGUAAUACGGAGGAUCCGUGCGUUAUCCGGAUUUAUUGGGGUUAAAGGGAGCGUAGAUGGGUUGUUAAGUCAGUUGUGAAAGUUUGCGGCUCAACCGUAAAAUUGCAAUUGAUACUGGCAGUCUUGAGUACAGUUGAGGUAGGCGGAAUUCGUGGUGUAGCGGUGAAAUGCUUAGAUAUCACGAAGAACUCCGAUUGCGAAGGCAGCUUACUAAACUGCCACUGACAUUGAUGCUCGAAAGUGUGGGUAUCAAACAGGAUUAGAUACCCCAGUAGUC